Molecule: long non-coding RNA, 829 nt
Organism: Chroicocephalus ridibundus (black-headed gull)
Lineage: Eukaryota; Metazoa; Chordata; Aves; Charadriiformes; Laridae
Exons: 3
Source: RefSeq, a predicted model, not a curated record
CACAGCUGUGCGUGGGCCACAUGCCAGUAAAAUACAUCCUGGACACUCAUAGAUUUCUUCCAGCCGUUACCUGCAGAGCGGCUCAGAGCUAAAGUAACUUCUUCCAGUCCAAAGACAACCGGAUAUGGGAGAGCAUGAUGAAAAAUUGCAGAGAGGAAAGUGUGCACAUGAAUCAAACGCACUUUUGGGUCAGUGUUGCUGAUGGCUGACCAGCAGUCAUGGCCAUGAGCUUGCUGUGCAGUCCCAUUCCCAUUUGUUUUGAAGCAUCCUCAUCUUCUGGAAACCGCUUUCAAGUUUAGUGGCAUAAAAGUCGCUUGGCAGUUUUUGCUCAAAAUGGUCGUCAGGGCUGUAGCUGUCACCAGUAGAAAUGUCUUCUACUGCUUUGGGACUGCUGUGAACCAUUCCUCUGAUCAUGAGCUUGACAGAUCCACCGGCUGUUGCUCAAUGACCCCAUCACCAUAGUUGGCAGACAUUGAUUUGACACAUCGGGCCGGGCAGCUCCUUUGGAGGCCUGGUAAUGUCAGUCCCUGACAAGGCGCUACGUUCGUGCAGAGAUGAUGGCAAAGCAGAGCCGCAUCUUGAGUAAUGUCACCGAGCAAUGGGACAACAGCUACCGUGUUUUAGAAUAUGUGCAUAUUAUUCAUUUGAAAAAAAAGCACAUUUGCCUUUUUAAAGAGAAAAUAUUGGUGUAUUUAUCUACAAAUCUAAUCUGGUGUAUAGCAUUAGGGACUGUCUGAUAGUUUGGGUUUUUUUUCUCAUUUAGCGUAUUACUUGGUCAAGUAGAUAUUUUACGUUUUCAGCUAUACCUGCAAAUUAUGAAUCAUAUACC